CCAUUGAUACUAUCUAUCUUGAAUAUUGUGGAGGUAAGCGGAAUAUGUCAUGUAGCGGUGAAAUGCUUAGAUAUGACAUAGAACACCCAUUGCGAAGGCAGCUUACUACGCAUAUAUUGACGCUGAGGCACGAAAGCGUGGGGAUCAAACAGGAUUAGAUACCCUGGUAGUCCACGCCCUAAACUAUGGAUACUCGACAUAUGCGAUACACUGUAUGUGUCUGAGCGAAAGCAUUAAGUAUCCCACCUGGGAAGUACGUUCGCAAGAAUGAAACUCAAAGGAAUUGGCGGGGGUCCGCACAAGCGGUGGAGUAUGUGGUUUAAUUCGAUGAUACGCGAGGAACCUUACCUGGGCUAGAAUGCUGGGAGAUCGCUAGUGAAAGCUAGUUUUGUAGCAAUACACUGCCAGUAAGGUGCUGCAUGGCCGUCGUCAGCUCGUGCCGUGAGGUGUUGGGUUAAGUCCCCGCAACGAGCGCAACCCCUAUCUUUAGUUGCCAACAGGUAAUGCUGGGAACUCUAAAGAAACUGCCGCCGUAAGGUGUGAGGAAGGAGGGGAUGAUGUCAGGUCAUCAUGGCCUUUAUGCCCAGGGCUACACACGUACUACAAUGGUAGUGACAAUGAGAUGCAAAGUGGCGACGCUAAGCUAAACUCAAAAAUCU
Molecule: ribosomal RNA, 659 nt
Filed under: uncultured bacterium
Lineage: Bacteria
Description: bacterial SSU rRNA
Rfam family: Bacterial small subunit ribosomal RNA
Source: RNAcentral